RNAcentral lists this ribosomal RNA (485 nucleotides) under uncultured bacterium. RNAcentral's name for it is "bacterial SSU rRNA". It matches the Rfam family "Bacterial small subunit ribosomal RNA", at positions 23 to 507 of the family's 1533-position model. The record is from RNAcentral.
CUCAGGAUGAACGCUAGCGGCAGGCUUAACACAUGCAAGUCGAGGGGUAUGCCGAUUUAUCGGCAGGAGACCGGCGCACGGGUGCGUAACGCGUAUGCAAUCUACCUUUCACAGAGGGAUAGCCCAGAGAAAUUUGGAUUAAUACCUCAUAGUAUAGCGGUUUCGCAUGAAACCACUAUUAAAGUUCCAACGGUGAAAGAUGAGCAUGCGUCCCAUUAGCUAGAUGGUAAGGUAACGGCUUACCAUGGCUACGAUGGGUAGGGGGUCCUGAGAGGGAGAUCCCCCACACUGGUACUGAGACACGGACCAGACUCCUACGGGAGGCAGCAGUGAGGAAUAUUGGUCAAUGGACGCAAGUCUGAACCAGCCAUGCCGCGUGCAGGAUGACGGUCCUAUGGAUUGUAAACUGCUUUUGUACGAGAAGAAACAACAUUACGUGUAAUGUCUUGACGGUAUCGUAAGAAUAAGGAUCGGCUAACUCCGUG